CCUACGGGCGGCAGCAGUGAGGAAUAUUGGUCAAUGGGCGCGAGCCUGAACCAGCCACGUAGCGUGAAGGAUGACUGCCCUACGUGUUUAAAACUUCUUCUAUAAAGGAAUAAAUUGAGGCACGUGUUCCUUUUUCCAUGUACUUUAUCAAUAAGGCACGGCUAACUCUGUGCCAGCAGCCGCGGUAAUACGGAGGAUCCGAGCGUUAUCCGGAUUUAGUGGGUUUAAAGGGAGCGUAGAUGGGUUUUUAAGUCAGUUGUGAAAGUUGGCGGCUAAACCGUAAAAUUGCAAUUGAUACUGGCAGUCUUGAGUACAGGUGAGGUAGGUGGAAUUCGUGGUGUAGCGGUGAAAUGCUUAGAUAUCACGAAGAACUCCGAUGGCGAAGGCAGCUUACUAAACUGCAACUGACAUUGAUGCUCGAAAGUGUGGGUAUCAAACAGGAUUAGAUACCCGAGUAGUC
Molecule: ribosomal RNA, 460 nt
Filed under: uncultured bacterium
Lineage: Bacteria
Description: partial 16S ribosomal RNA
Rfam family: Bacterial small subunit ribosomal RNA
Source: RNAcentral